UGGGGAAUCUUGGACAAUGGGGGCAACCCUGAUCCAGCCAUGCCGCGUGAGCGAUGAAGGCCUUAGGGUUGUAAAGCUCUUUCAGCGGGGAAGAUAAUGACGGUACCCGCAGAAGAAGCCCCGGCUAACUCCGUGCCAGCAGCCGCGGUAAUACGGAGGGGGCUAGCGUUGUUCGGAAUUACUGGGCGUAAAGCGCACGUAGGCGGAUGCUUAAGUCGGGGGUGAAAUCCCGGGGCUCAACCCCGGAACUGCCUUCGAUACUGGGUGUCUGGAGGAUGAGAGAGGCGAGUGGAAUUCCGAGUGUAGAGGUGAAAUUCGUAGAUAUUCGGAGGAACACCAGUGGCGAAGGCGGCUCGCUGGCUCAUUUCUGACGCUGAGGUGCGAAAGCGUGGGGAGCAAACAGG
Molecule: ribosomal RNA, 404 nt
Filed under: uncultured bacterium
Lineage: Bacteria
Description: bacterial SSU rRNA
Rfam family: Bacterial small subunit ribosomal RNA
Source: RNAcentral